AUCUGAUGGUGAGGGCAACUGGCACAUAGUUUUUUAAAUCUCUCUCCCAGUACUCAUACAGGCUCUCUCCACUGAGUUGUCUAAUACCUGAAAUAUCCUUUCUGAUGGU
Glycine soja is the source of this 109-nucleotide non-coding RNA. The record is from Rfam. Lineage: Eukaryota; Viridiplantae; Streptophyta; Magnoliopsida; Fabales; Fabaceae.